Molecule: ribosomal RNA, 426 nt
Filed under: uncultured bacterium
Lineage: Bacteria
Description: bacterial SSU rRNA
Rfam family: Bacterial small subunit ribosomal RNA
Source: RNAcentral
GUGGGGAAUCUUGCGCAAUGGGCGAAAGCCUGACGCAGCAACGCCGCGUGCGGGAAGAAGGCUUUCGGGCUGUAAACCGCUUUCAGUAGGAACGAAACUGACGGUACCUACAGAAGAAGGAGCGGCCAACUAUGUGCCAGCAGCCGCGGUGACACAUAGGCUCCAAGCGUUGUCCGGAUUUAUUGGGCGUAAAGAGCUCGUAGGCGGUUGAGUAAGUCGGGUGUGAAAACUUUGGGCUUAACCCAAAGAUGCCACUCGAUACUGCUUUGACUUGAGUUCGGUAGGGGAGUGGGGAAUUCCUUGUGUAGCGGUGAAAUGCGCAGAUAUAAGGAGGAACACCGGUGGCGAAGGCGCCACUCUGGGCCGAUACUGACGCUGAGGAGCGAAAGCGUGGGGAGCAAACAGGAUUAGAAACCCGUGUAGUCC